RNAcentral lists this ribosomal RNA (429 nucleotides) under Bacteroidota bacterium. RNAcentral describes it as "Bacteroidetes bacterium partial 16S ribosomal RNA". It matches the Rfam family "Bacterial small subunit ribosomal RNA", at positions 355 to 776 of the family's 1533-position model. The record is from RNAcentral. Lineage: Bacteria; Pseudomonadati; Bacteroidota.
UAGGGAAUCUUCGGCAAUGGGGGGAACCCUGACCGAGCAACGCCGCGUGAGUGAAGAAGGUUUUCGGAUCGUAAAGCUCUGUUGUUAAGGAAGAACGAGUGUGAGAAUGGAAAGUUCAUACUGUGACGGUACUUAACCAGAAAGGGACGGCUAACUACGUGCCAGUAGCCGCGGUAAUACGUAGGUCCCGAGCGUUGUCCGGAUUUAUUGGGCGUAAAGCGAGCGCAGGCGGUUAGAUAAGUCUGAAGUUAAAGGCAGUGGCUCAACCAUUGUAGGCUUUGGAAACUGUUUAACUUGAGUGCAGAAGGGGAGAGUGGAAUUCCAUGUGUAGCGGUGAAAUGCGUAGAUAUAUGGAGGAACACCGUUGGCGAAAGCGGCUCUCUGGUCUGUAACUGACGCUGAGGCUCGAAAGCGUGGGGAGCGAACAGG